AAAGAGUUAAUUAAUUAUAAAAGUUAUUGUAGUAAAACUAUUUUUAAUAAUUAAUUAGAAAUGAAAUGUUAAUCGUUUUUAAAGAUAUCUAGUUUUUUCAGAAAAAAAUUUAAUUUUAAAUUUUUUUUAAAAAAAAAAUUAAAUAAUUAAUUUUUUUUUAAAAAAAUUUUAUAUUUUAAGGGAUAAGCUUUAAAUUAAAAAUUUAUAAUGAAAAUAGUUAUUUAUUUGAGAAUUAUAUGAUUUAAAUUAUCAAUAAAAUUUAGUUUAUUAUAAAUAAUUUCAUUUAAAUAAAAAUUUAAUUUUAGUUUAAUUUUUUAUGAAAAAAAAAUUUAUAAUUAAAAAAAAAUUGGCUAUAAUGAUAAAAUUAGUAUAAUAAUUAUUUGAAUAAAAUUUUACUUAAAUAAAACUUAAGUAAUAAAAAGGAAUUCGGCAAAUAUUUAUAUUCACUUGUUUAUCAAAAACAUGUCUUUUAGAAAUUAAUUUAAAGUCUAAUCUGCCCACUGAUAAAUUAUUAAAGGGCUGCAGUAUUUUGACUGUCAAAGGUAGCAUAAUCAUUAGUCAUUUAAUUGAUGACUUGUAUGAAAGAUUGAAUGAAAUAUAAUCUGUCUCUUUAUUAAUUUAUAGAAUUUAAUUUUUUAAUUAAAAAGUUAAAAUAUUAUAAAAAGACGAGAAGACCCUAUAGAGUUUAAUAAAUAAUUUUUUUUGAGAAUAUUUGUUAAUAAAAAAAUUUAAAUAAAAUUAUUUAUUUUGUUGGGGUGAUAAAAAAAUAUAAAAAACUUUUUAAAAUUAAAAACAUAAAUAAAUGAUUAAAUGAUCCAAUUUUAUUGAUUAAAAGAAAUAAUUACCUUAGGGAUAACAGCGUAAUUUUUUUUUUUAGUUCAAAUAAGAAAAAAAGUUUGCGACCUCGAUGUUGGAUUAAGAUAAAAUUUAAAUGCAAAAGUUUAAAAUUUUG
This 952-nucleotide ribosomal RNA is filed under the name Lobogonodes erectaria. RNAcentral describes it as "partial 16S rRNA". The record is from RNAcentral. Lineage: Eukaryota; Metazoa; Arthropoda; Insecta; Lepidoptera; Geometridae.